UGAGGAAUAUUGGUCAAUGGGCGCGAGCCUGAACCAGCCAAGUCGCGUGAGGGAAGACGGCCCUAAGGGUUGUAAACCUCUUUUGUCAGGGAGCAAACGGGUCACGAGUGGCCAUAUGAGAGUACCUGAAGAAAAAGCAUCGGCUAACUCCGUGCCAGCAGCCGCGGUAAUACGGAGGAUGCGAGCGUUAUCCGGAUUUAUUGGGUUUAAAGGGUGCGUAGGCGGGCUGUCAAGUCAGCGGUAAAAAAUCGGGGCUCAACCCCGUAUAGCCGUUGAAACUGGUGGUCUUGAGUGAGUGAGAGGUAUGCGGAAUGCGUGGUGUAGCGGUGAAAUGCAUAGAUAUCACGCAGAACUCCGAUUGCGAAGGCAGCAUACCGGUGCUCAACUGACGCUGAGGCACGAAAGCGUGGGGAUCAAACAGG
RNAcentral lists this ribosomal RNA (422 nucleotides) under uncultured bacterium. RNAcentral describes it as "bacterial SSU rRNA". It matches the Rfam family "Bacterial small subunit ribosomal RNA", at positions 355 to 776 of the family's 1533-position model. The record is from RNAcentral.